UACGUAGGAUGCAAGCGUUGUCCGGAAUUACUGGGCGUAAAGGGCGCGCAGGCGGUUUAGCAAGUCUGCUGUGAAAUCUCUGGGCUUAACCCGGAGGGGUCGGUGGAAACUGCUAGACUAGAGUAUAGGAGAGGUCCGUGGAAUUCCCGGUGUAGUGGUGAAAUGCGUAGAGAUCGGGAGGAACACCAGUGGCGAAAGCGGCGGACUGGCCUAAAACUGACGCUGAGGCGCGAAGGCUAGGGGAGCAAACAGG
This 253-nucleotide ribosomal RNA is filed under the name uncultured bacterium. RNAcentral describes it as "partial 16S ribosomal RNA". It matches the Rfam family "Bacterial small subunit ribosomal RNA", at positions 524 to 776 of the family's 1533-position model. The record is from RNAcentral.